AGUGUUGUAAUUGAUUCUGGAGGAGCCUUCUACUGAUCGGAUAGUGAUUGUUGAGAGUACCGUCUCUCCCCAGACGUAACGAUGGAAGGUCGUGAACUGAGUAAACAAAGUGUUGUGUGUCUUUGAAAGUUCAAGAUCAAACAAACCUAAUUAAAUCACAAGGUCAAAACGCUACAUUACUAAACAUCACAUCACUAUUACUACUAACAUCAACAAAAGUUUUCGGAAAUCAAAUUUUAUUUUCUCAAGUGUUUAUAUAGAAGUUAGUAAUGAUGGAUACUACCUCAAGGUCUUUACGUUCAAAGAAAGCCAUCUGUAG
RNAcentral lists this long non-coding RNA (319 nucleotides) under Brassica napus (rape). Its description in RNAcentral is "long non-coding RNA (BNAP_LNC020167)". The record is from RNAcentral. Lineage: Eukaryota; Viridiplantae; Streptophyta; Magnoliopsida; Brassicales; Brassicaceae.